AUUCUCCGGCAACCUGAAUCUCCUUUUGAACUUACCGCUGCUCCUCUCCAUACGGUGCCACUGAUCGUUCUUCUCCUCUUUCUCUCUGCUUCUCUCACCGCUGAUCUGUAAAAUCCUUCCUUCUUCUACUUCAACUUUAACCUCCUCUUUCUUGAUCCCCGGAACAUCCACUUUGAAGACGUGAGCUUGUGGGGUCUCUUUCCAAUCAAUUUUUGCAUUUGCAAAAGCAGAGAUUUCACGAGCAGAGGAUGGGGUGUUGGCAAUUGGGAAGCCCUCGAAGGGAUCCCAUAGGUCAAGGGAAAAUGGGUCGAAGAUAUUGCUUCUCCGACCACCAAAGAAGCUUGGAAUCAGAGACAUUUGUUGUUUGAAGAAAACAGAGGAUCUUAGAUUGUGGUGCUUAAUUUGCUUGAUUGCUUGGUGAUGGACAAACUAAAGAAAGUACGGUGGUAUUUAUAGUCGAUGAAUCUGAGAAACUCGAGUGUAUUCUAGCCUCUUCUUUGCUUCAUUUUAGAUACGGAACAGUCAGAGACUUCUACAAUAUUCCAGACAUAUUGUUUUUAUGAGAAGGAAU
RNAcentral lists this unclassified non-coding RNA (571 nucleotides) under Hevea brasiliensis (rubber tree). The record is from RNAcentral. Lineage: Eukaryota; Viridiplantae; Streptophyta; Magnoliopsida; Malpighiales; Euphorbiaceae.